This 413-nucleotide ribosomal RNA is filed under the name uncultured Rhizophagus. RNAcentral's name for it is "partial 28S ribosomal RNA". The record is from RNAcentral. Lineage: Eukaryota; Fungi; Glomeromycota; Glomeromycetes; Glomerales; Glomeraceae.
GAGAGUUAAACAGUACGUGAAAUUGUUGAAAGGGAAACGAUUGAAGCCAGUCGUACCUUCGGGUAAUCAGCCUUUCGGGUGCGAUUCUGUGGGGUUUGAGGAGCUUUAACACCUUCAUGCUUUGCAUAUUCGUGCUCUUGGGUGUACUUGCCCGUGUGGUUGGUUAACAUCAAUUUCGGGCACCAUAAAAUGGCUGGAGGAAUGUAGCUUCGAUCUUGUAUUGAAGUGUUAUAGCCUUCGGUAGAUGUGGUGAUCGAGAUUGAGGAUUGCAACGGAUACCUUUCGGGGCUACCUGUCUGAUCUCUGAUCGUUGUUUUGGUGCUGAAAGCGUGCUUAUAGUUAUCAAAGUCGAUGGUCAAUAGGUUAGAAUGGGUUAAAUUCGUUAAGGAUGUUGACGUAAUGGCUUUAAACGA